GACGAACGCUGGCGGCGCGCUUAACACAUGCAAGUCGAACGGAAAGGCCUGCUUUCCCUUGUGGAUUGCGGGUACUCGAGUGGCGAACGGGUGAGUAACACGUGAGUGAUCCGCCCCCAACUUGGGUAUAAGCCUGGGAAACUGGGUCUAAUUCCCGAUAGGACUGCAGGGUGGUGCCUGUGGUGGAAAACGAUUUUCUAGUGGUUGGGGAUGAGCUCGCGGCCUAUCAGCUUGUUGGUGGGGUAAUGGCCUACCAAGGCGGCGACGGGUAGCCGGCCUGAGAGGGUGGACGGCCACAUUGGGACUGAGAUACGGCCCAGACUCCUACGGGAGGCAGCAGUGGGGAAUAUUGCAGAAUGGGCGGAAGCCUGAUGCAGCGACGCCGCGUGGGGGAUGACGGCCUUCGGGUGGUAAACUCCUUUCGACCGCGAGGAAGCCACCUGGUUGGAAGGGUGGUGACGGUAGUGGUAGAAGAAGCACCGGCUAACUACGUG
This 494-nucleotide ribosomal RNA is filed under the name uncultured bacterium. Its description in RNAcentral is "partial 16S ribosomal RNA". It matches the Rfam family "Bacterial small subunit ribosomal RNA", at positions 28 to 507 of the family's 1533-position model. The record is from RNAcentral.